AUUGAACGCUGGCGGAAUGCUUUACACAUGCAAGUCGAACGGCAGCACGGACUUCGGUCUGGUGGCGAGUGGCGUACGGGUGAGUAAUGUAUCGGAACGUGCCCAGUCGUGGGGGAUAACGUAGUGAAAAUUACGCUAAUACCGCAUACGAUCUAUGGAUGAAAGCGGGGGAUCGCAAGACCUCGCGCGAUUGGAGCGGCAGAUAUCAGAUUAGGUAGUUGGUGGGGUAAAGGCCCACCAAGCCAACGAUCUGUAGCUGGUCUGAGAGGACGACCAGCCACACUGGAACUGAGACACGGUCCAGACUCCUACGGGAGGCAGCAGUGGGGAAUUUUGGGCAAUGGGCGAAAGCCUGAUCCAGCCAUUCCGCGUGCAGGAUGAAGGCCCUCGGGUUGUAAACUGCUUUUGUACAGAACGAAAAGGUUUCUACUAAUACUAGGAGCUCAUGACGGUACUGUAAGAAUAAGCACCGGCUAACUACGUGCCAGCCGCCGCCGUAA
This 500-nucleotide ribosomal RNA is filed under the name uncultured bacterium. RNAcentral describes it as "partial 16S ribosomal RNA". It matches the Rfam family "Bacterial small subunit ribosomal RNA", at positions 30 to 523 of the family's 1533-position model. The record is from RNAcentral.